RNAcentral lists this long non-coding RNA (708 nucleotides) under Gossypium barbadense (sea-island cotton). RNAcentral's name for it is "long non-coding RNA (GBAR_LNC022729)". The record is from RNAcentral. Lineage: Eukaryota; Viridiplantae; Streptophyta; Magnoliopsida; Malvales; Malvaceae.
UUCUAUUAUACUGGAGACUAGCAGAGAAAUUUUUUUAUUAUAUUGGAGACUAUAAGAGAAAAUUCAAAUUAAACUCCAAUCUUAACAAUGAUACAUCAUCCCACUGUCGGAUUAGCACCAACUUGAAAGACAAUAGAAACCCAAGAGAAAAAAAAAGAGCUUAAAACUAAAAUAAAAAUGGCAGAUAACUAAGUGGACCCUAAAAGUACACCGAUAUUAGCUAAGACAUUGAGAAACCUCGUAUAAUAGAGGGGCUGAUGGUUUUAUCUACUUGGAUAUCUGUCUCAUCUUUCGGCGCUUCCUCUUCAAUCUUCUCAUGCGCUUCUUCUUCCACUGUUACAUAUCAUGUAAGAUGCCAUAAAUGAAAUAUCAUUCAAAGAUCUAUUAUAUAAAUAAGAACAAAUUGAGACAAAAAGGAAAACAGCAUUACCUUGGCUCUCAUGGUGAUAGGAUAAAAGGAAACUUGAUGUCGCCUUCUUGGUUAUUCAUUAAACCCUAGCCGGAUGCAGAGGCGGCAAUCAAUUGCUGGCAAGGACUUUUACCAUCUACACCUAUCACUACUAGGUGUCACAGGCUCUUUCUUCUUAGUCGAAUCGCGACCAGAUUUCCUAGAACUCCCCUUUCUCAGCCGAACGACGAUGUAGCAGAAGGUCGGGGAAAAUCUAACGGAUUUGGGGAUUUUGAUUUGGAAAAAAAAAAAGAAAUUUC